This 1383-nucleotide long non-coding RNA is filed under the name Equus caballus (horse). RNAcentral describes it as "lncRNA (ENSECAG00000002223.3)". The record is from RNAcentral. Lineage: Eukaryota; Metazoa; Chordata; Mammalia; Perissodactyla; Equidae.
UUUUUUUUUUCCUUCCUCCCUUGGGCCAUAAAAUUUUAUUGGCAGAUCAGGGGGAGAGCCAGGGUAAGGGUCCCUCCCCUCUAUGCCCCUACCCAUGGGCAUCCUUCCACAGGAGGGCGGGAAGCCCAAGAGGCUGCUGGACUCAGUGGGCAUUGGGGGGCGGCGGGUGGACGAAGCGGCCGUCCUUGUGCUCCAGCACGAUUUGAUGGGUGACGUCCUGGGCCUCCAGCAGGCUUCGGUAGGUGGCGAUCUCCUGCUCCACCCGAGUCUUGACGUCCAGGAGCAGCUGGUACUCCUGGUUCUGCCGCUCGGUGUCAGCACGCACGUCACUCAGCUGGGCUUCGAUGCUACUGAUCAGCGCCUGGAUCUGUGCCAGCUGAGCUCCGAAGCGAGCCUCCGUUUCCGCCAGCGUGCCUUCCAGGGCGGCUUUCAUGCUGAGCUGAGACUGCAGCUCGAUCUCCAGGCCCUGGAGGGUGCGCCGCAGGUCGGUGAUCUCCGUCUUGUUAAUCUGCAGCUGCUCCGUGUGGCCAGCGACCUCCCGGUUCAGCUCCUCAGUCUUGGUGGUGAACCAGGCUUCAGCAUCCUUCCUGUUCUUCUCAGCCAUGACCUCAUAUUGGCUUCUCAUGUCGCUCAGGAUCUUGGCUAGGUCAAUGCCUGGAGCGGAAUCCACCUCCACAGUGACCUGGCCCCUCAAGACACUGAUUUCCUCCUCGUGGUUCUUCUUCAGGUAGGCCAGCUCCUCCUUCAGGCCUUCGAUCUGCAUCUCCAGGUCAGUCCUGGCCAGGGUCAGCUCGUCUAGCACCCUGCGCAGGCCAUUGAUGUCGGCCUCCACACUCAAGCGCAGAGCCUGCUCAGUCUCGAACUUGGUUCGGAAAUCGUCUGCAGCCAGACGGGCAUUGUCGAUCUGCAGAACAAUCUUGGAGUUCUCAAUGGUGGCCCCAAGAAUCUUGUCCCGCAGCUCCUCGAUGGUCUUGAAGUAGUGGCUGUAGUCGCGGGCGGGCCCGGGCCCCUGCUUCAGGUACCAGUCGCGGAUCUUCACCUCCAGGUAGGAGGCCAGGCGGUCGUUGAGGUUCUGCAUGGUCUCCUUCUCGUUGCCCGCCGGCAGCCCGUCGGACCCGGCCAGGGUGCCCGCAUAGCCACCGCCGUAGCUCCCGGAGGAGGACGAGGUCACGAAGCUGGCAGAGGACACCGACACGCCGCGGCCGCCCGAGCCCCCGUGGAUGCUGGGCGCGCGGAUGGUGCCUCCGGCCCCGAAGCGCAGGGAGCCACUGCCCAGGCCCCCGAAGGACGAGGUGGCCGAGGACUGGCGAUAGCUGUAGGUAGUCAUGGCGAAGGAGGACGCGGCGACAAGGGUCGGAGGAGCUGCGGUUGGCAGGAGGAGUC